GGGAUGACGUCAAAUCAUCAUGCCCCUUAUGACCUGGGCUACACACGUGCUACAAUGGUUGGUACAACGAGUUGCGAGUCGGUGACGGCGAGCUAAUCUCUUAAAGCCAAUCUCAGUUCGGAUUGUAGGCUGCAGCUCGCCUACAUGAAGUCGGAAUCGCUAGUAAUCGCGGAUCAGCACGCCGCGGUGAAUACGUUCCCGGGCCUU
RNAcentral lists this ribosomal RNA (207 nucleotides) under uncultured Streptococcus sp. Its description in RNAcentral is "partial 16S ribosomal RNA". It matches the Rfam family "Bacterial small subunit ribosomal RNA", at positions 1176 to 1382 of the family's 1533-position model. The record is from RNAcentral. Lineage: Bacteria; Bacillati; Bacillota; Bacilli; Lactobacillales; Streptococcaceae.